AGUCCGGAAGGGAUAAACGCUGAAGGCAUCUAAGCGUGAAGCCCCCCUCGAGAUGAGAUGUCCCAUCCGAAAGGAGUAAGACCCCUUGAAGACGACGAGGUAGAUAGGGCAGAGGUGGAAGUGCAGCAAUGCAUGGAGCUGACUGCUACUAAUCGGUCGAGGGCUUGACCAA
This 172-nucleotide ribosomal RNA is filed under the name Candidatus Blautia pullistercoris. RNAcentral describes it as "partial 23S ribosomal RNA". It matches the Rfam family "Bacterial large subunit ribosomal RNA", at positions 2752 to 2925 of the family's 2925-position model. Lineage: Bacteria; Bacillati; Bacillota; Clostridia; Lachnospirales; Lachnospiraceae. The record is from RNAcentral.